UACGUAGGGUGCAAGCGUUGUCCGGAAUUAUUGGGCGUAAAGCGCGCGCAGGCGGUCCCUUAAGUCUGAUGUGAAAGCCCACGGCUCAACCGUGGAGGGUCAUUGGAAACUGGGGGACUUGAGUACAGAAGAGGAAAGCGGAAUUCCACGUGUAGCGGUGAAAUGCGUAGAGAUGUGGAGGAACACCAGUGGCGAAGGCGGCUUUCUGGUCUGUAACUGACGCUGAGGCGCGAAAGCGUGGGGAGCAAACAGG
RNAcentral lists this ribosomal RNA (253 nucleotides) under uncultured bacterium. RNAcentral describes it as "partial 16S ribosomal RNA". It matches the Rfam family "Bacterial small subunit ribosomal RNA", at positions 524 to 776 of the family's 1533-position model. The record is from RNAcentral.